UAAAUCUAACAUUGAGAAAUGC
RNAcentral lists this non-coding RNA (22 nucleotides) under Arabidopsis thaliana (thale cress). Lineage: Eukaryota; Viridiplantae; Streptophyta; Magnoliopsida; Brassicales; Brassicaceae. The record is from RNAcentral.